UCACUUGUUUUUGCUGUAGGCUGGGGGGGCCGGGGUCACUUGCUCAGACCUGCCUUGGGCUCUCUCCCCAGGCACUGGCAAGGCGGAGGGGCACAGAGAGCACAAGCUGCACUGCAGUUCCCGAGGUGAAGCACCUCCACUUUGCACAGGGUGUCUGUGUGACCGUCAGGACCUAGAGUGACAAAGGUCCUGUAUUUCUUUCUGGGCUCGAUGCUGGCAGUGGCCCAGGCCAAUCACGGCUGUGCCCCGCUGACCCCUGGCCAAGCUGCCUGCAGAGCUGGGGCCCUGCUGACAACGUGGAUGCUGUCACCUGCCCAUCACUUUGGAGAGUUUUCUAAUAUUUGCCCCGCUAGCUGCUAAAACAAAAGAGGUGUGCCUGUUCCCUUGUGCACUCACGGGGAAGCACUGAACUCUGACGUAGUGCAGGAUGAGAGUGGGAUGCAUUAAACCCUGACCUCAGCCUUCUUGCGAUCACUGACCUUAGCUCGCUCCCGAGUCAAAUGCAUGUCUUGGAGAAGUCUGUUGCUGUAAUAAGUUAUUUAGAAGUGCCCAUCUGACUCCGUGCUGCUUUUUCAAGUCUCUGCUGUAGAACAAAGCUACAUCAUGGCAGCAAAAUGGCAAUUUUUAAGCACCAUACCGUAUUGCUGGGAUGAUGAGCACAAAAUACCGUAACAUUCGGGACAGAGUGAUUCCAAGUCUUUGCUUCAAUGUCUUCCAAUCAGGUAAAUCGUUUUCUAAAACUGCCUCUCUAAAGCAAGGCUGUGCAAUUGGAAAGCAGAGGCCAAUUUGGUUGCAGGUGUGUCAUAUUUGGGCAAAAGAAUUAAAGCUAUGCCAUUUGCACCAGCUCUGGAGGUUUGGGUGACCCCCUGGAAGUGCUCGUUCAUUUGGAGGUUGCAGCACCAUUUUUAGUUCUUAUUUAUCCUGCAGGAAAGCAAAGCCAGACCUCACUGCCAAGCUUCACAAAGGCUAGAUUGAUGAUGCCGACAUCGACAAAUGAACAUACCAUGGCAGCCUGGUCAUUCGGCUCAGGUUCACUUGAAGUUCAAAUCCACUCCAUGCUGUAGUACUAUGCCCAUCUCAUCCAUCUUUUGUCUUUCUAUUUUCUGCCUGUAAUUUGUUCUGUGGUUUUCUGUGGCAUCUGUUUAUAGCUUCUCCUGUGGCUUAGUGGACACUGCAGGUAGGUAGAGGCUGUCCACAGCGGUGCGUUCCUCAUGGCUUUGGGAUGAAGGAGCUGCAGAGCUGACGUUCCCUGUUACUGGUGGUGGAGGAGUGAGGGCUGCAGGCUGGUGCAGGGCAGAGCUCCAGGGGCAGUUCCUGCCGCCAGGAGAUGGGGAGACGACUGCCAGGAGCUCCUCCUUGUCAAUCCACGUCUUCCCGUGCCGAGGGCAGGGCUGACUGCGCAGCAGCUGAAGUGCUCAUUUGAGGAGAGGGUUCGGAUAGCUGCCGAGCCCCACAUUCAGUGAGGCACUCCCUGGGUAUGUCUCAGAAAAAUGGGCGCGUAGCUUCGAGUCCCUUCCUGUGAGAUUUAGCUUAGAGAGCAUCAGUAGAUAAAAUUGGUGCUUUAAUAUUUAUAGCAACAGUUAUGAUUGCUCAGCCUUCUUAGAGGUAGUGAGCUCAGCUUUCUCUUCAGUAACCUACAGGAAACACUGGAUAGCUCAAAACGCUGACAGGACAUGCAGCUGGGACAAGCCUCUAAGAAAUCUUCGGGAUAUAUUUGUAUAGUUGGUUCUCACUCUUCCCUCUCUUACACUUGGCUAGCAAAGCUGCUUCAGGGGUGCAUCUGCAAAGAAACUUGAGAGAUUAGUUUGAUCUUCACGGUGUGUUUCUGCACUGUGGCACUGCAAGGAUACCCUGUGCUGAAAGCACGAAUAGUGCAAAUGCAGUUCUUGUGGUACAAAUGCAAUAGAGGUGUUUUGAGCAAAGAGCUACAGCUGCUGAGAGCCAGCUGAGCUCUCAGACCUGCUAACCGAAGGCUGGAAAACUGGGCAUUUCCAAAGGGGAGAGGGCUCAGAGCCAGCGCUUGGAAGCACAGCGAGACACACUGUGGUUGACUGUAUGUGUCGUCCACUGAUUAUAGGAAGCUUUUUUAUUGCACCUCUGAAUUCCCAAGAUCUUGGGCAUCAGGUCAGCAUUUCCACAGGUAGGUUUUAUUUGCUGUUCCAUAACUUUUGUACUCACAGCAACUCAUUGCAAGGCUGGUCCUUGCAUCCUUGCAGCAAGUCCUCCCUGUUGGCAUGUGCCAUAGCCAGUACCAGCAUCUCUCUGCAUCUUACUCCCUCCCUGUCCAAAAGGCGACUGUGGUAGCAUUGGCCCAGGCAAUAAAUGUUCAGGGAGCCUGCUGUUGAUGUUGUCUGGCUGUGGAGAAGCCUUCUGGAGCAUAAGAGGAGGGGAUGAGUCAAUGGAAAGCAACAGAAUUGGAUUUGCAGAGCUUUACCAGAUAUGCUUGGCUACCUUGCCUCUAUUUCUAGAACAAGACUAGCCUCUAGGUAGCUUAAUCUUGUGGCUGAUGGAGAAAUUAGUUUGCCAAAUUAUCGUAUGUCUGCAACAGAGACAGAAAAGCAGCAGUGAGGGGUUUGCUUACUGUAAAAUACACCUUCUGAUGUGAAUUAAUAGUGACACGCUGCCUCCUGGAUUUCUCACGGCAAAGAGCAGGUAGCGUGCUGAGAUGACUCGUGGGCCAUCCAAGCCAGGCUGUGCUGUCUAAUGUAUUAACAAUGGAAAGGCAAGAAAUUAGUCCAGAAAGUAAUGUAGAGUGUGAACUUUGUGAUAAAAUUCAAGUGUGGACAGUUGUAGCAGGUGUCUUCCCUGUGGGAGCAUCUCGUAGCUGUAGUUACAUAGGAAUAAACUUCGUCAAACUUUUUUCCUUUGACUCACUGAGUUUGCCCGUGGUGUUUGUAGGAGAGGGUCCCCCAUGAGCCUCUUGUAUAGUAAGAGGUUGUUGGUAGUCUGUAGCUUUGGGCUUGUUUGGUUUCACACCUGCCCCUGCCCCCACUGGUUUCCUGAGCUCUUCAGACUGAACCCACACACCGCAGAGCCUGGAGAAAAUCCCGAUGUGGGCAUGACACGUGCCAGGUGGACGCUGGUGGCGAGGGCACGCGUCCGCAGGUCUGGGCACCUCUUCUUCAGUGGGGCCCUAAAAAUCUCUUAGGGGAGGGAAAAUGGGAUGCAGCACCUUUGGAGCUGGCCGGUCCCACGCUGGCCUUCCUCUCCCCACUGCCCUCGGGCGACACGGGGUCUGUCUCCCCAGGUCUUCCCUCCAGCCGCUCUCCCAAAGCAGCCCCCGGAGCAGCCAGUGACUGCUGCUCCCUGGCCGGGGUGGCAGCGGGCGCGUCCCGUGGGUGCUGGCAGAGCAGCUCACCAGCGAGCCGUUCUCACUCCUCCUGAAGGGCAUGCGUGUCUCGCUGCAUUCAAAUAAUUACCUCAGCCUUCGAGCCUUGACAAACAGACGGGAAUCUUUCCCAGCAGCGGGGCAGCCGAGCAGUGUCGGUGUUAGUUAUCCUGAGCCAUAAAACUCUGACAGCAUUGCAGUAGGGAGGGUGCUCCUCUGCUCAUGAAGAAGCUCAGUAAGGUGCUGCUCAAUUUAUUCAACACAGGGAAACCAAACAGUUUGGAUAUUCUGGUCGUUUAUUGUGAAAUUGUUUCCUAACAGCAACAGUUUUAAAUGUCAGCGUGCAAAUGGAAGAGAGAAACCUUUUAUGCAGUUGCAAAGUGUUUUCUAAGAUGCUAUGCAUUUUGUUGGGUUAUUGAAAGUGAAUUUACUGUGCAUUAAUCUUAUGAAUGUUACUAUGUUUUAUAUUUAUUUUAGAUGACCCUCCUGUAUUUUACAAAGGGAAGUUUCAUUGUGUGAUAACUUAGUCUGUAUUCUUAAUAUAAUUUGUUAAAUAAAACUUGUUUUAAUCAGUU
This is a long non-coding RNA of Pygoscelis adeliae (Adelie penguin), 3903 nucleotides long. RefSeq lists it as uncharacterized. The record is from RefSeq and is a predicted model, not a curated record. The transcript has 2 exons. NCBI's taxonomy places the organism in Eukaryota, Metazoa, Chordata, Aves, Sphenisciformes, Spheniscidae.